Long non-coding RNA from Oncorhynchus tshawytscha (Chinook salmon), 1998 nucleotides. NCBI's taxonomy places the organism in Eukaryota, Metazoa, Chordata, Actinopteri, Salmoniformes, Salmonidae. The record is from Ensembl.
GGGAGAGAGGAGGAGGACGAGGAGAGAGAGGAAGACGAGCACCAGGCGAGGAGAGAGAGGAAGACGAGCACCAGACGAGGAGAGAGAGGAAGACGAGCACCAGACGAGGAGAGAGAGGAAGACGAGCACCAGGCGAGGAGAGAGAGGAAGACGAGCACCAGACGAGGAGAGAGAGGAAGACGAGCACCAGGCGAGGAGAGAGGGAAGACCAGCACCAGACGAGGAGAGAGAGGUCGAGCUGUAAACAACAGCUACAAAAAUGAAGAAUAAGAGGUUGAAAAGCCACUAAAACUCUACUUCCUGUGAUGAGUUUCACUUGAGAAGGAAGAGCGAGAGAGAGAGAGAGAGAGCAUCACAGCUACUGUAGGACAUCUUGUCUGCCAUUUCAACCCUAACAGCCACAUGACACCCCUGAUGGGAUCCUUAUAUUAAUGAACUAAGAUAUAAAGUAAGGAGAAGAUCAAAUCUACUGCUAGACUUUGACUGGGGUUGACCAGACCCAUAUAGGACUUUUAAUGUUUGAGAAUAUUCACUGUUAAUGGACAGAACGCUUAUCGCUUCACAGAACAAAAUAACAUUACUAAAAAAAUGGGUUUUGUUGCUUUUGGGUUUAGUUAUUUUGUUAUGUUUUUUUUUCUUUAUUUCUCUUUUGUUUCUAGUUUUAAAGGGUGGGAGAUGUGGUCCAGACUAACACAGAAAGUUCAAACUGGUCGAAACUGAAUUGAACAGGUUUAACACUGACCCUGGAAUGCACUGGUCUGACCCUGGAUUGAAUUGGUCUGAAGCAGUACUUCCUAUUAAAGAAAACAGAUGCUGUUGGCUUAAACUCAUAUCGAGUAAAUUAUAUAUUUUUGGUUUCAUAUUAUUUUGUUUUGAUUUAAUUUCUUACGUUUGAUUUAUUUUAUUUCAGUUAAUUUAUUUUUUAUAUAUAUUUCUUUUAAUUAGCCCAUUGGGGGGGUGAAUAUGAUUUCUGUAAAUACUGUUUUGUUUCCUAGUCUCUGUGUCAAUGAUUGACAAGCAGGAAUAGAUCACAGUCCUCACUCCUAUCACCACACAGACCAUCACUUUUCAUUUAUGAAUGAAUUCCUGUGUAAUAAUAGCGAUGGCAAUGAUGAUGACUGUGAUGAUGAAGAUUAAGAAAUGUUUCGCUAACGCCAUCAAACGAUGACAUCUACCAGAUAUCCACAAGACAAGUCUGAUUUUUGUUUAUUUGGUGAUUGUUUUGUCAAAUAUGUACAUUUAGUCUUGGUUUCAGGAUACAGGCCUCACAGAGAGGGAGUUUGAUAGACUUCAGGCUACGAGGGACAGGCCUCACAGAGAGGGAGUUUGAUAGGCUACGAGGGACAGGCCUCACAGAGAGGGAGUUUGAUAGACUUCAGGCUACGACGGACAGGCCUCACAGAGAGGGAGUUUGAUAGACUUCAGGCUACGACGGACAGGCCUCACAGAGUUUGAUAAUGUAAAAAGGAAACCUUCACUCAUUCACAUUUGUCAGAUUAUUUAAAGAAAGGAAGACAAAAAAAAGAAUUGAUUCAGUGUCAAAUGUUUUGUUCUUGUAUUCACACUUUGCAUCAAAUCACAUAUUAUUUAUUAGCCUGGUGAUUAUUUCCUGUCACAUGACCCUUAAGUUAAUUAAGUUAAGUUAAUUAAGACCGGAGGGGGAGGAGAGACAGUUAAUUAAGACCAGAGAGAGGGAGGGAGGGGGAGGAGAGACAGUUAAUUAAGACCAGAGAGAGGGAGGGAGGAGGAGGAGAGACAGGAAGUACAAAGGUAAAACAUGAGAUGUACUGUUAGUGUGUUAAACUCAAUCAAAUACACUCACACCCAAAAACAGGUUCAAUUUAUGGAUCCAAAAAAAAGGUCAAAUAUUUUGGAUCUAUGAAAUCCCAAAAAAACUAUUGUAUUCAUGUUUUAUUACAAAGAUGUAAAAUAUGACCACGUGUGAGUUGAAAGUUGGAAGAAAAUACAAAUAAAAUAUGCAAAGAAUUUGUUGAUCUG